Molecule: ribosomal RNA, 229 nt
Filed under: uncultured bacterium
Lineage: Bacteria
Description: partial 16S ribosomal RNA
Rfam family: Bacterial small subunit ribosomal RNA
Source: RNAcentral
UGCGCAGGUGGACUUUUAAGUCAGUGGUGAAAUCCCGAGGCUCAACCUCGGAACUGCCAUUGAUACUGGAAGUCUUGAAUUUGGUUGAAGUGGGCGGAAUGUAGCAUGUAGCGGUGAAAUGCUUAGAUAUGCUACAGAACACCGAUCGCGAAGGCAGCUCACUAAGCCAAUAUUGACGCUCAGGCACGAAAGCGUGGGGAGCAAACAGGAUUAGAUACCCUGGUAGUCC